Molecule: microRNA precursor, 88 nt
Filed under: Bombyx mori (domestic silkworm)
Lineage: Eukaryota; Metazoa; Arthropoda; Insecta; Lepidoptera; Bombycidae
Description: microRNA bmo-mir-993a precursor
Gene: bmo-mir-993a
Rfam family: mir-10 microRNA precursor family (bases 9-82)
About the family: In this case the mature sequence comes from the 5' arm of the precursor. The extents of the hairpin precursors are not generally known and are estimated based on hairpin prediction. The products are thought to have regulatory roles through complementarity to mRNA.
Source: miRBase by way of RNAcentral
GGCACAUUCGUGAUCUACCCUGUAGAUCCGGGCUUUUGUAGAUUAAUUACAUCAGAAGCUCGUCUCUACAGGUAUCUCACGGCUGGAA